Long non-coding RNA from Dermochelys coriacea (leatherback sea turtle), 529 nucleotides. RefSeq lists it as uncharacterized. The transcript has 2 exons. The record is from RefSeq and is a predicted model, not a curated record. Lineage: Eukaryota; Metazoa; Chordata; Testudines; Dermochelyidae.
GCUUCUCCCAGGAGAGGGACACUUCGGUGCUGAAUUCAUUUCCCAGGAGUUCUUUGCAGACAUUCAGGAUCACCUGAAACAUGUUCUGUCAAAGGAACAUAGAGCGAGUGAGACACAAAUGCAGAAUUGCAUUAAAACGGUCCAGAAUUCUGCAGGCCUGCUUCCAAUUGUCCAGGUUUUCAGCCACCUGGUUGAGGGCAACCAUGACUCUCCGGCCAUGGAAACGCACCAGCGGAUCCUCCUGCAGGUUGCCUUCAGUAGGGAUGGUCUUGAAGUAUGCUUUUGUCUCAGGAUAAUCUGUGAAGAGUCUGUAUGGGGAAGAAACAAUAGUGACUGAAAAUCACAAAUUAGCAAAGCAAGCCCACGGUGGUUUUACUGUGGCUUUAAGAGAAUCUCCAGAGUGGGAGAUGACUGUUGGAGGAGGUUAUUGGUUUUAGGUUAGACUGACAGAUUGACCAGAGUUAAAAUGCUCUGUCUAUAUGUUAACUAUGUAUCUAAUAAAGACUAUUGUUAAAUUACUAGCAAUGAA